This 250-nucleotide ribosomal RNA is filed under the name uncultured bacterium. Its description in RNAcentral is "partial 16S ribosomal RNA". It matches the Rfam family "Bacterial small subunit ribosomal RNA", at positions 524 to 775 of the family's 1533-position model. The record is from RNAcentral.
UACGGAGGAUGCAAGCGUUAUCCGGAAUGAUUGGCGUAAAGCGUCCGCAGGUGGCUAUGUAAGUCUGCUGUUAAAGAGUCUAGCUCAACUAGAUAAGAGCAGUGGAAACUACAUGGCUAGAGUGCGUUCGGGCAGAGGGAAUUCCUGGUGUAGCGGUGAAAUGCGUAGAGAUCAGGAAGAACACCGGUGGCGAAGGCGCUCUGCUAGGCCGCAACUGACACUGAGGGACGAAAGCUAGGGGAGCGAAUGG